UUCCGGUAACACGGAAUGGAGGACCGAACCGCCAGACGUUGAAAAGUCUUCGGAUGACUUGUGGGUAGGGGUGAAAGGCCAAUCAAACUCGGUAAUAGCUCGUACUCCCCGAAAUGCAUUUAGGUGCAGCGUUGAGAUAGAGUGUCAUAGAGGUAGAGCUACUGAUUGGGCUAGGGGGCUUCACCGCCUACCAAACCCUGACAAACUCCGAAUGCUAUGAAAUAUACUCGGGAGUGAGGGCAUGGGUGCUAAGGUCCAUGUCCGAGAGGGAAAGAACCCAGACCAUCAGCUAAGGUCCCCAAAUAUAUGUUAAGUUGAACUAACGAAGUUCGAUUGCUUAGACAGCUAGGAUGUUGGCUUGGAAGCAGCCAUUCAUUUAAAGAGUGCGUAACAGCUCACUAGUCGAGCGGUUUAGCAUGGAUGAUAAUCGGGCAUAAAGCAUAUUACCGAAGCUAUGGAAUCGAAUUUAUUCGAUUGGUAGGGGAGCAUUCCAGUCUGCGCCGAAGGUGAAUCGUAAGAUUUGCUGGAGCGUCUGGAAAAGCAAAUGUAGGCAUAAGUAACGAUAAUGCAGGUGAGAAACCUGCACACCGAAAGACUAAGGUUUCCUGAUCAACGCUAAUCGGAUCAGGGUUAGUCGGGACCUAAGGCGAGGCCGAAAGGCGUAGUCGAUGGAAAACUGGUUAAUAUUCCAGUACCUACUAACAACGAGGUGAUGGGAGGACGCAUAGAGCUAAGCGCUGUCAGCUGAUGGAAUAGCUGGCCGAAGGGCGUAGUUGGUGUGGUAGGCAAAUCCGCCACACAAUACAACGAGGCCUGAUAGGCUCUCAAUCCUCUUCGGAGGAGCGAGAGUGAGCGUGAUGCUGUCGUGCCGAGAAAAGUCUCUAAACCGUUUGAGUUGUUAGUAGCCCGUACCGUAAACCGACACAGGUGGGUGAGAUGAGUAUUCUAAGACGCGUGGAAGAACCCUGGUCAAGGAACUCUGCAAACUAGCACCGUAUCUUCGGUAUAAGGUGUGCCUCCGCGAGGAGGUCGCAGCAAAGAGUCCCUGCCGACUGUUUAGCAAAAACACAGCACUCUGCUAACUCGCAAGAGGAUGUAUAGGGUGUGACGCCUGCCCGGUGCUGGAAGGUUAAGGGGAUCCGUUAGCCGUAAGGCGAAGCGGUGAACCGAAGCCCCAGUAAACGGCGGCCGUAACUAUAACGGUCCUAAGGUAGCGAAAUUCCUUGUCGGG
This 1231-nucleotide ribosomal RNA is filed under the name metagenome. Its description in RNAcentral is "bacterial LSU rRNA". It matches the Rfam family "Bacterial large subunit ribosomal RNA", at positions 751 to 1976 of the family's 2925-position model. The record is from RNAcentral.